RNAcentral lists this ribosomal RNA (399 nucleotides) under uncultured Lachnospiraceae bacterium. Its description in RNAcentral is "bacterial SSU rRNA". It matches the Rfam family "Bacterial small subunit ribosomal RNA", at positions 358 to 774 of the family's 1533-position model. The record is from RNAcentral. Lineage: Bacteria; Bacillati; Bacillota; Clostridia; Lachnospirales; Lachnospiraceae.
GGAAUAUUGGACAAUGGGGGAAACCCUGAUCCAGCGACGCCGCGUGAGUGAAGAAGUAUUUCGGUAUGUAAAGCUCUAUCAGCAAGGAAGAAAAUGACGGUACUUGACUAAGAAGCUCCGGCUAAAUACGUGCCAGCAGCCGCGGUAAUACGUAUGGAGCAAGCGUUAUCCGGAUUUACUGGGUGUAAAGGGAGCGUAGACGGCAUAGCAAGUCUGAAGUGAAAUCCCAUGGCUUAACCAUGGAACUGCUUUGGAAACUGCCAGGCUAGAGUGCAGGAGAGGUAAGCGGAAUUCCUAGUGUAGCGGUGAAAUGCGUAGAUAUUAGGAGGAACACCAGUGGCGAAGGCGGCUUACUGGACUGUAACUGACGUUGAGGCUCGAAAGCGUGGGGAGCAAACA